AGCGAACGCUGGCGGCAGGCUUAACACAUGCAAGUCGAGCGGGCAUCCUUGUGGUGUCAGCGGCAGACGGUUGAGUAACGCGUGGGAACGUGCCCUUCGUUGCGGAAUAACUCAGGUAAACUUGAGCUAAUACCGGAUACGUGCUAGAGCAGAAAGGGUUAUUGGUCGAAGGAUCGGGUAGUGUCUGAUUAGGUAGUUGGUGAGGUUAGGGCUCACCAAGGGGACGAUCAGUAGCUUGUCUGAGAGGAUGAUCAGCCACACUGGGACUGAGACACGGCCCAGACUCCUACAUACAUGCCCACUAUUCAAUAUUACACCAUCAAGGCAAACCUGAUCCACCCAUGCCGCGUGAGUGAUGACGGCCUUAGGGUUAUAAAUCUCUUUUCUCCCCGACUAUACUAACCUUCCCCCAACAAUAACCCCCGGCUAACUUCCUG
RNAcentral lists this ribosomal RNA (437 nucleotides) under uncultured bacterium. Its description in RNAcentral is "partial 16S ribosomal RNA". It matches the Rfam family "Bacterial small subunit ribosomal RNA", at positions 29 to 507 of the family's 1533-position model. The record is from RNAcentral.